This 127-nucleotide small RNA is filed under the name Marmota monax (woodchuck). Lineage: Eukaryota; Metazoa; Chordata; Mammalia; Rodentia; Sciuridae. The record is from RNAcentral.
GCUGGGUGCAGUGGUGCAUGCCUGUGAUCCCAGAUACUUGGGGGGCUGAGGCAGGAGAAUCACAAGUUGAAGGCCAUCUUCAGUAAUUUAGCAAGGUCCUAAGCAACUUAGUGAGACCUGGUCUCAA